RNAcentral lists this ribosomal RNA (255 nucleotides) under uncultured bacterium. Its description in RNAcentral is "partial 16S ribosomal RNA". It matches the Rfam family "Bacterial small subunit ribosomal RNA", at positions 524 to 776 of the family's 1533-position model. The record is from RNAcentral.
UACGUAGGGUACAAGCGUUGUCCGGAAUUAUUGGGCGUAAAGAGCUCGUAGGUGGUCUGUCACGUCUGCUGUGGAAACGCAAGGCUCAACCUUGCGCGUGCAGUGGGUACGGGCGGACUAGAGUGCAGUAGGGGAGUCUGGAAUUCCUGGUGUAGCGGUGAAAUGCGCAGAUAUCAGGAGGAACACCGGUGGCGAAGGCGGGACUCUGGGCUGUGAACUGACGCUGGAGGAGCGAAAGCAUGGGGAGCGAACAGG